Transfer RNA from Theileria parva strain Muguga, 74 nucleotides. It matches the Rfam family "tRNA". Rfam says of the family: Transfer RNA (tRNA) molecules are approximately 80 nucleotides in length. Their secondary structure includes four short double-helical elements and three loops (D, anti-codon, and T loops). Further hydrogen bonds mediate the characteristic L-shaped molecular structure. tRNAs have two regions of fundamental functional importance: the anti-codon, which is responsible for specific mRNA codon recognition, and the 3' end, to which the tRNAs corresponding amino acid is attached (by aminoacyl-tRNA synthetases). tRNAs cope with the degeneracy of the genetic code in two manners: having more than one tRNA (with a specific anti-codon) for a particular amino acid; and 'wobble' base-pairing, i.e. permitting non-standard base-pairing at the 3rd anti-codon position. The record is from Rfam. NCBI's taxonomy places the organism in Eukaryota, Apicomplexa, Aconoidasida, Piroplasmida, Theileriidae.
AGAUUACUAGCUUAAUUUGGUAAAGUACUCGUUUUUUAAUCGAUUUAGUCUGGGUUCGAAUCCCAGGUGAUCUA